This 468-nucleotide ribosomal RNA is filed under the name uncultured bacterium. RNAcentral's name for it is "partial 16S ribosomal RNA". It matches the Rfam family "Bacterial small subunit ribosomal RNA", at positions 28 to 507 of the family's 1533-position model. The record is from RNAcentral.
GACGAACGCUGGCGGCGUGCUUAACACAUGCAAGUCGAACGGAAAGGCCCUGCUUUUGUGGGGUGCUCGAGUGGCGAACGGGUGAGUAACACGUGAGUAACCUGCCCUUGACUUUGGGAUAACUUCAGGAAACUGGGGCUAAUACCGGAUAGGAGCUCCUGCUGCAUGGUGGGGGUUGGAAAGUUUCGGCGGUUGGGGAUGGACUCGCGGCUUAUCAGCUUGUUGGUGGGGUAGUGGCUUGCCAAGGCUUUGACGGGUAGCCGGCCUGAGAGGGUGACCGGCCACAUUGGGACUGAGAUACGGCCCAGACUCCUACGGGAGGCAGCAGUGGGGAAUAUUGCACAAUGGGCGGAAGCCUGAUGCAGCAACGCCGCGUGCGGGAUGACGGCCUUCGGGUUGUAAACCGCUUUCGCCUGUGACGAAGCGUGAGUGACGGUAAUGGGUAAAGAAGCACCAGCUAACUACGUG